GAAAAAAUACUCUAGUUGCGAGCAAAACGACACCGUAAAAGUCAAGUGUGCCCACCUAAUGAAAACGUACACACCUAACUCAUUCAUUUCGUCCGACGUGUCACUACGGUCAUGCAAUCACUCCGACUUUACCAAGAAAACUAUCCACCAGAUCUUUCUCUCUCUCUCUCUCUCUCUCUCUCUCUCCACCAAUCGCCUGAGAAAGCUGCUGGCCGUUACUCGCCAAAACCUGUCUUUCUUCUCUCCAGGUCAGUCCUCUUGAUCCAAACCCACCUCCCCUUUUUCUUACAUCGUCGGUUCUUUAAUCUGUGAUGAUGUGAUAUUUGGGGGUCAUUUUCUUUGGAGUGUCUUAUAAAUGGUUGUUUGGCACAUUCGAAUAAUCCAAAAGCGAAUAAGCUUUUCAGGCACCCACAAUAGUUCUUCAAUCCCCCCUCUACUUGUGCGGGUUGCUUCUAAAUUUGAAACACCCUCUGGUUUUUUGAGAUCCGAUUCUUGAUAAAAUUUUCCUAUUCCGUCUCUUUUGUUUGAAUUUGUUUGUGGCUUCUUGGGUUGGGUUUGCUUUUGAUUUUUCAAUUCAAUUUGUCGCUGUCUCAUUACGUGUUAUUGUCAAUUGUUUGUGUAGGGAAAUUAUUGUGGGUUGUUGAAUUGUGAGUCCUUAUUGUCAAUUGUUUGUGGAUGGCAAUUAAUUUGGCUUCUCAUUUGUUGGGUUUUUGAUCUUAUUGUUCCUGGAUUUGGAUUUGAUCUAUCUGAGUAAUUAGCAAAACCCAUGAGCUAAAAGGCUAUGAUUUCGUCAGGCCAUUAAUUUAUGAUGUGGGUUUGAGGUUUUUGUGUUUUGGGUGGUUGGAGAAAUUUUGAUUUCUUGGAGAAUGUACACUUUGGGUGCUUGAAUUUGUGGUCAUUUGUUGGGUUUAUGAUAUUGUUGUUCCUGGAUUUGGAUUUGAUCUAUCUGAGUAAUUAGAAAAACCCAUAAGCUAAAAGAGGCUUUAAUUUCAUCGGGUGAUUAAUUGAUGAUGUGGGUUUGAGGUUUUUGUGAUUUGGGUAGUUGGAGAAACUUUGAUUUAUUGGAGGAUGUACACUGUGGGGAGGCUUGGAAGUUCAAAACCCAGGGG
Molecule: long non-coding RNA, 1109 nt
Filed under: Actinidia chinensis (golden kiwifruit)
Lineage: Eukaryota; Viridiplantae; Streptophyta; Magnoliopsida; Ericales; Actinidiaceae
Description: long non-coding RNA (ACHI_LNC007183)
Source: RNAcentral